GAUAAACGCUGGCGGCGUGCCUAACACAUGCAAGUCGAACGAUCCCGCAAGGGAGAGUGGCGGAAGGGUGAGUAACACGUGGGAAUCUACCUCCUCGCAGGGAACAACCUCUCGAAAGAGAGGCUAAUACCCAAAAGGGUCAGAAAUGAUCAGAGUCGAAAGGCGUGAGGAGAGGAGCCCGCGGCCCAUCAGCUAGUUGGUGAGGUAAUGGCUUACCAAGGCUACGACGGGUAGGGGAUCUGAGAGGAUGUCCCCCACACUGGAACUGAAACACGGUCCAGACGCCUACGGGUGGCAGCAGUGAGGAAUAUUGGACAAUGGGCGAAAGCCCGAUCCAGCAACGCCGCGUGGAGGAUGAAGGCCUUCGGGUCGGUAAAACUUCUUUAGAGGGAGACGAGAAAGGACGGUAUCCCUAGAAUAAGCGACGGCAAACUAACGUGCCAG
RNAcentral lists this ribosomal RNA (444 nucleotides) under uncultured bacterium. RNAcentral describes it as "bacterial SSU rRNA". It matches the Rfam family "Bacterial small subunit ribosomal RNA", at positions 28 to 511 of the family's 1533-position model. The record is from RNAcentral.